GGUUCGAUGGCGUAGUUGGUUAUCGCAUCUGUCUAACAUACUCGCUAUCCUUAAACGGGAAAGUCGCACACAGAAGGUCCCCGGUUCGAGCCCGGGUCGAAUCA
Non-coding RNA from Lentinula aff. lateritia, 104 nucleotides. The record is from the annotation of a GenBank genome assembly. NCBI's taxonomy places the organism in Eukaryota, Fungi, Basidiomycota, Agaricomycetes, Agaricales, Omphalotaceae.